This 72-nucleotide transfer RNA is filed under the name Pertusaria propinqua. RNAcentral's name for it is "tRNA-Leu". It matches the Rfam family "tRNA". Rfam says of the family: Transfer RNA (tRNA) molecules are approximately 80 nucleotides in length. Their secondary structure includes four short double-helical elements and three loops (D, anti-codon, and T loops). Further hydrogen bonds mediate the characteristic L-shaped molecular structure. tRNAs have two regions of fundamental functional importance: the anti-codon, which is responsible for specific mRNA codon recognition, and the 3' end, to which the tRNAs corresponding amino acid is attached (by aminoacyl-tRNA synthetases). tRNAs cope with the degeneracy of the genetic code in two manners: having more than one tRNA (with a specific anti-codon) for a particular amino acid; and 'wobble' base-pairing, i.e. permitting non-standard base-pairing at the 3rd anti-codon position. The record is from RNAcentral. Lineage: Eukaryota; Fungi; Ascomycota; Lecanoromycetes; Pertusariales; Pertusariaceae.
AAAAGUGUAAUAUAGUUGGUAAAAUGUAAAGCUUAAAACUUUAAUUUAUUAGUUCGAAUCUAAGCACUUUGU